GGCGAGAGACGAUAGCGAACAAGUACCGUGAGGGAAAGAUGAAAAAGAACUUUGAAAAAGAGAGUUAAACAGUACGUGAAAAUUGUUGAAAAGGGAAACGAUUGAAGCCAGUCGUACCUUCGGGUAAUCAGCCUUUCGGGUGCGAUUCUGUGGGGUGUGAAGAGUUAAACGCCUUCACGUUUUGCAUAUUCGUGCUCUUGGGUGUACUUGCCCGUGUGGUUGGUUAACAUCAAUUUUGGACGCCAUAAAAUGA
This 253-nucleotide ribosomal RNA is filed under the name Glomus sp. Bu. Its description in RNAcentral is "partial large subunit ribosomal RNA". It matches the Rfam family "Eukaryotic large subunit ribosomal RNA", at positions 325 to 542 of the family's 3401-position model. Lineage: Eukaryota; Fungi; Glomeromycota; Glomeromycetes; Glomerales; Glomeraceae. The record is from RNAcentral.